GUGUCAGCCGCCGCGGUAAUACCGGCAGCCCAAGUGAUGGCCGAUCUUAUUGGGCCUAAAGCGUCCGUAGCUGGCCGCACAAGUCCAUCGGAAAAUCCACCCGCCCAACGGGUGGGCGUCCGGUGGAAACUGUGUGGCUUGGGACCGGAAGGCGCGACGGGUACGUCCGGGGUAGGAGUGAAAUCCUGUAAUCCUGGACGGACCGCCGAUGGCGAAAGCGCCUCAGGAGAACGGAUCCGACAGUGAGGGACGAAAGCUAGGGUCUCGAACCGGAUUAGAAACCCUUGUAGUCC
Molecule: ribosomal RNA, 293 nt
Filed under: uncultured prokaryote
Description: partial 16S ribosomal RNA
Rfam family: Archaeal small subunit ribosomal RNA
Source: RNAcentral